UCCCUCCAUAACAUAACCCUCGGGUAUAUCAGGCAAUUCAUAUCUAGGAGAGCUAGAUCUAGCAGGAGCAAAAGCAGGUUCUAUCUCAAUAGUAUCGACAGUUUCAGAAGCAUCACGAGCAUUGGCAGUAACUCUAGCAAUACGAGCAUCAAGGAAUACCCCUAGUGGCAUAUCAGGCAAGGCAGCGUCUCUAGCAGUAUCAAGCAUAGCAUCAUCAGGCAAAAUAGCAUCUCUAGCAUCAUCAUACAAAGCAGUAUCAAGCAUAGCAUCAUCAGGAAAAAUAGCAUCUCUAGCAUCAUCAGGCAAAGUAGUAUCAAGCAUAGCAUCAUGGAUAGCAGUAUCAGGCAUAGCAUCUCUAGUAGUAU
Molecule: long non-coding RNA, 365 nt
Filed under: Hordeum vulgare
Lineage: Eukaryota; Viridiplantae; Streptophyta; Magnoliopsida; Poales; Poaceae
Description: long non-coding RNA (HVUL_LNC005531)
Source: RNAcentral